This 465-nucleotide ribosomal RNA is filed under the name uncultured bacterium. RNAcentral's name for it is "partial 16S ribosomal RNA". It matches the Rfam family "Bacterial small subunit ribosomal RNA", at positions 338 to 795 of the family's 1533-position model. The record is from RNAcentral.
CCUACGGGUGGCAGCAGUGGGGAAUAUUGCGCAAUGGGCGAAAGCCUGCCGCAGCGACGCCGCGUGAGGGAUGAAGGUCUUCGGAUCGUGAACCUCUGUCAGCAGGGAAGAACGGUCACUGUGCUAAUCAGCAGUUAAUUGACGGUACCUGCAAAGGAAGCACCGGCUAACUCCGUGCCAGCAGCCGCGGUAAUACGGAGGGUGCGAGCGUUAAUCGGAAUUACGUGGCGGAACCCGCUCGUAGGCGGUAUGUCAAGUCAAGGGUGAAAUCCCCGCGCUCAACGUGGGAACUGCCUUUGAAACUGGCAAACUGGAGUGUGUGAGAGGAUAGUGGAAUUCCAGGUGUAGGAGUGAAAUCCGUAGAUAUCUGGAGGAACAUCAGUGGCGAAGGCGACUAUCUGGCACAUAACUGACGCUGAGGAGCGAAAGCGUGGGUAGCAAACAGGAUUAGAUACCCGUGUAGUC